RNAcentral lists this transfer RNA (85 nucleotides) under Archaeoglobus profundus. Its description in RNAcentral is "tRNA-Leu". It matches the Rfam family "tRNA". From Rfam's summary of the family: Transfer RNA (tRNA) molecules are approximately 80 nucleotides in length. The record is from RNAcentral. Lineage: Archaea; Methanobacteriati; Methanobacteriota; Archaeoglobi; Archaeoglobales; Archaeoglobaceae.
GCGGGGGUUGCCGAGCCUGGACAAAGGCGCGGGAUUGAGGGUCCCGUCCCGAAGGGGUUCGUGGGUUCAAAUCCCACCCCCCGCA